CUAACUCAAAGGAAGUGGAGAUGGCUGGCUGAGGAAAUCCAAAGGUCCUCUCCUCCUCCGAGGCAGUGCCCUGCAUGUCCACUCUGUUUCCUGGUUGGGAGUCUGACUUCUGCCAAGUGAAAGCUCAUGCUCAUGUGAGAGAGACAAAAGCCAUUCCAUGAGGCCCAAAAUUCAGUAAUGGAAGGAUCAGCAGUUCAGGCUUUUUACCAGGUUGUUUUAAAUGUUCAUAAAGGACAUCAAGAAACCAAAGUCCUGUUAGUUCAUGAUCCCUUUUCACAGGAGAAGUGUCCUAGAAUUUGUCCUGUGGUGACACUAAUUUUUGUUGUUGAAAUUUCUGCUGUUCCUGAUGUGUCAGGUAAGAGAGAUGUUAUCUCACUCGCUUUUCUGGUGAAAGCUCCAAUGUAUGUUGUCUUACAAAUCCAUGUUUUUACAAAAUCCAUAUUGAGAGAAGAGUCUAAGUCAGACAGUAACACUUGGUCCCCAUUCAGAACUCCGUGGCUGCCAGGCAGCCAUUCCUGUGUCUGUCUGGGAGGUGGACACUCUCUACGCACACCAGCAGCACACAGAUCUUAUGUACAGCUGCCAACACUGCUUUGCUAACCACAGGCUGGGUCUUUGAUGCUGUCUCAGCAGACAACAUUCUGAGCAGGGCUAUUUGGUGUCUUCUAAAUGCUGUAAAAUUACAGAUUAAUUUAUUGGUGCGUCUGUUCCAGGCUCACUGAGCAAACCAGAAGCUUUGGGAUACCUUUGUGGCCAGACAUUAUGGUAACAUUCUCCACUAGAGAAUGCAGGAGCCAGCACAAUUCUGUGUGGUUGGCAGGACAUACACAGAUGUAUCUGUGGUCUAAACCCAGUUCUGAGCCUGUUAUUUUUCUAACCUUGUGCAGCAGAAUGAUAAGCUGCACAGACAAAAUAGGCUCUGUGCUUCUCUGAGAGAAAAGGAGGAUAGGUUUCCUGCUGAGGAUGUAAGCCUUUGACUAUGACUGUAGUAGUGAAAUUUGCCUUUUCUCACAGUCCAGAAAAAAGUAAAAAAAAAAAAAGAAAAAAGAAAAAAAGAAAAAAAAAAGAAUAAUAGACAUUGAAAAAUGCACAUUAUUUCAAUAUAACUAAUACUUGAAGUAAGGUAAUAAAUAGAAAAACGUGUAAUUUGAAGGAAUAAGA
RNAcentral lists this long non-coding RNA (1161 nucleotides) under Cyanistes caeruleus (blue tit). Its description in RNAcentral is "lncRNA (ENSCCEG00000009989.1)". The record is from RNAcentral. Lineage: Eukaryota; Metazoa; Chordata; Aves; Passeriformes; Paridae.